CAAAGGUAGCGUAAUCACUUGUCUUAUAAAUAAAGACCAGUAUGAAUGGCUAAAUGAAUAUUUAACUGUCUCUUUUAACUAAUCAGUGAAACUGAUCUUUCAGUACAAAAGCUGAAAUAUAAACAUAAGACGAGAAGACCCUGUGGAGCUUCAAAUUUUUGUCAGGGCCUGUAUAAAAUGUGCUUAUGAUAAAGAAUUUUUAGUUGGGGCGACUUUGGAGUAAAACAUAACCUCCAAGAAAAGGCACCGCCUAAAUAAGGCCCACAAGCCAAAGACAUACGACCCAGUACCACUGAUCAACGAACCAAGUUACCCCAGGGAUAACAGCGCCAUCUUCUUCAAGAGUUCAUAUCGACAAGAAGGUUUACGACCUCGAUGUUGGAUCAGGACACCCAAAUGGUGCAGCCGCUAUUAAAGGUUCGUUUGUUCAACGAUUAACAGU
RNAcentral lists this ribosomal RNA (442 nucleotides) under Anolis sminthus. Its description in RNAcentral is "partial 16S ribosomal RNA". It matches the Rfam family "Bacterial large subunit ribosomal RNA", at positions 1951 to 2594 of the family's 2925-position model. The record is from RNAcentral. Lineage: Eukaryota; Metazoa; Chordata; Lepidosauria; Squamata; Anolidae.